Molecule: ribosomal RNA, 447 nt
Filed under: uncultured bacterium
Lineage: Bacteria
Description: bacterial SSU rRNA
Rfam family: Bacterial small subunit ribosomal RNA
Source: RNAcentral
UCGGGAAUUUUGGGCAAUGGGCGAAAGCCUGACCCAGCAACGCCGCGUGAAGGAUGAAGUAUUUCGGUAUGUAAACUUCGUAAGAAUAGGAAGAAUAAAUGACGGUACUAUUUGUAAGGUCCGGCUAACUACGUGCCAGCAGCCGCGGUAAUACGUAGGGACCAAGCGUUGUUCGGAUUUACUGGGCGUAAAGGGCGCGUAGGCGGCGUGGUAAGUCAUCUGUGAAAUCUCCGAGCUUAACUCGGAACGGUCAGAUGAUACUGCUGUGCUAGAGUACAGAAAGGGCAAUCGGAAUUCUUGGUGUAGCGGUGAAAUGCGUAGAUAUCAAGAGGAACACCUGAGGCGAAGGCGGGUUGCUAGGCUGAUACUGACGCUGAGGCGCGAAAGCUAGGGUAGCAAACGGGAUUAGAUACCCACGUAGUCCCUGAGCGGGCUGGCAAGGCGCAU